UACGGAGGGGGCGAGCGUUAUUCGGAAUUAUUGGGCGUAAAGGGCGCGUAGGCGGCUAUUCAAGUCAAAGGUGAAAUCCCUCGGCUCAACUGAGGAACUGCCUUUGAAACUGAAUGGCUUGAGUCCGGGAGGGGGUAGCGGAAUUCCCAGUGUAGCGGUGAAAUGCGUAGAUAUUGGGAGGAACACCAGUGGCGAAGGCGGCUACCUGGACCGGAACUGACGCUGAUGCGCGAAAGCGUGGGUAGCAAACAGG
RNAcentral lists this ribosomal RNA (253 nucleotides) under uncultured bacterium. RNAcentral's name for it is "partial 16S ribosomal RNA". It matches the Rfam family "Bacterial small subunit ribosomal RNA", at positions 524 to 776 of the family's 1533-position model. The record is from RNAcentral.